GAUGAACGCUAGCGGCAGGCCUAAUACAUGCAAGUCGAACGGGAUCCAGAUCCAAGCUUGCUUUGGUCUGGUGAGAGUGGCGCACGGGUGCGUAACGCGUGCGCACCCUACCCUUGUCAGGGGGAUAGCCCGGCGAAAGUCGGAUUAAUACCGCAUGCCAUCUUUGAGAGGCAUCUUUCGAUGUUCCAAGAUUUAUCGGACAAGGCUGGGCUCGCGGGACAUUAGCUAGUUGGUAAGGUUACGGCUUACCAAGGCUGCGAUGUCUAGGGUAUCUUAGAGGAGAAGCCCCGACAGGGGUACAGAGACGAGGACGAGAGUGAUACGGGAGGGAGCAGUAAGGAAGAUAGGGCAAUGGACGGAAGUAUGAACCAGGCAUGCCGAGUGCAGGAGGACGGCGCUAUGGGUGGUAAACUGCUUUUAGAAGGGAACAAACGUCGGUAAGGGUACGGGAGUGAGGGUAACGGAAGAAUAAGGAUCGGCUAACUCCGUG
Molecule: ribosomal RNA, 490 nt
Filed under: uncultured bacterium
Lineage: Bacteria
Description: partial 16S ribosomal RNA
Rfam family: Bacterial small subunit ribosomal RNA
Source: RNAcentral